CCCUUAGAUGUUCUGGGCCGCACGCGCGCUACACUGACGAUGGCAACGAGUUUUUCCUUCGCCGAAAGGUGUGGGUAAUCUUUUGAAACAUCGUCGUGCUGGGGAUAGAUCAUUGCAAUUUUUGAUCUUGAACGAGGAAUUCCUAGUAAGCGCGAGUCAUCAGCUCGCGUUGAUUACGUCCCUGCCCCUUGUACACACCGCCCGUCGCUACUACCGAUUGAAUGGUUUAGUGAGGACUCCUGAUUGGCGCCGCCGCCCCGGCAACGGAGCAGCGGACUGCCGAAAAGUUGUUCAAACUUGAUCAUUUAGAGGAAGUAAAAGUCGUAACA
Molecule: ribosomal RNA, 329 nt
Filed under: uncultured eukaryote
Lineage: Eukaryota
Description: partial 18S ribosomal RNA
Rfam family: Eukaryotic small subunit ribosomal RNA
Source: RNAcentral